Molecule: ribosomal RNA, 468 nt
Filed under: uncultured bacterium
Lineage: Bacteria
Description: partial 16S ribosomal RNA
Rfam family: Bacterial small subunit ribosomal RNA
Source: RNAcentral
GACGAACGCUGGCGGCGUGCUUAACACAUGCAAGUCGAACGGAAAGGCCCUGCUUUUGUGGGGUGCUCGAGUGGCGAACGGGUGAGUAACACGUGAGUAACCUGCCCCUGACUUUGGGAUAACUUCAGGAAACUGGGGCUAAUACCGGAAAGGAGCUCCUGCUGCAUGGUGGGGGUUGGAAAGUUUCGGCGGUUGGGGAUGGACUCGCGGCUUAUCAGCUUGUUGGUGGGGUAGUGGCUUACCAAGGCUUUGACGGGUGGCCGGCCUGAGAGGGUGACCGGCCCCAUUGGGACUGAGAUACGGCACAGACUCCUACGGGAGGCAGCAGUGGGGAAUAUUGCACAAUGGGCGGAAGCCUGAUGCAGCAACGCCGCGUGCGGGGUGACGGCCUUCGGUUUGUAUACCGCUUUCGCCUGUGCCGAAGCGUGAGUGACGGUAAUGGGUAAAGAAGCACCGGCUAACUACGUG